GCACGUUAAAGUCAUUGAGCUUUCGGGGGAAAAAUCAGAUUUUUCCGGUGACUCGGGGUAAAUGUGGGGACUUAGAAAGCUCCCCCUAGAAGGCAAAAGUAGAAGCUGAAAGUGUCCCCACUCUUGACUGUCCUGCCUUGUCAGAACCCUGCAAUCUGUGACACCGCACAGGAGCCAGUGGGUUUUGAUGACUGGUGUGUUGCUCUCUGCUGGAAUACAUCUGUGGGGUCAAGAAGCGGGAGGAGGAAAUGCCUGUCUCAACCACUAACUAAUUUGCCUUUAUUAUCUUUUCCUGAACAUCAGAUCAAUUGUGGAAGAACAUAAAAUGCAAAACAUGAACUUGCAGAAAACAAGAGCCAAUCCCAUUUCUCUUCUGCAGCUGCACUGGAAAUGUGCGUCAGCUCAGUGUGUCACAGCAGAGAUACACGUGGACGGGGAAGCACAGCAGCUUGCAGGAAAGGCCUGGCUGGCAGAGAGCACCCAAAGAUGAACACAAUGAACAGUGAGGGUCUCACGCGAGGUGGCUGGGGCUGAGUGGCUUUUGGCGACUGAUGUCCCACAUCUGAGUGGAGAGCAGAGGAGAGACUCCUCCAGCUUCAUCAGCACUGGCAUAGGCUUGAUUCCCAUCCAUACCCUUUCCAGCACAGACGUGCACAGACUCUCGUGGCUGCCACAGUGCGAAAGCGCGCCAGCCACCACUGCUCCUUUGAGUGAGACACUGGUUGUGUAAUCUGAACCUGGCUGGAUUUGCUGUUUAAGAAAGAAGUGAAGAGGAUCCUUUUAUUUUCCCAAACGGGGCCUCAUGGAAGUUCCACGUUGCUCCUCCCUGGCCUUCCAUCUCCACUGCACAGUGAGCAGAGCUAGGCUUGUCUGUGGCAGCUCCGCCACGCCCUGUCACCUGCAGUCACUAGUAGUAGGGCCCUAGCUUUUCAUAUCCUAAGUAACUUGGCCACUCUGGAAACAGACCAUAGGAACACCGAGGGCUUCCGAACUGGUCAAAGGAUAUUCCCAAAUCCGGUCCACUGUGGGGCUUGGUCAUUCCCUGGGUAGAUUUUAACUCAGCCCGGAUGAUCCUAUAGUUCUUGCCUCUGUUGCUGUCCCAGUACGUCUGUCCAUUGCACUCGUAGUACACAGCAAACUCCAUUCUUUCAUAAGACUGAAUCUUCUCGGGCAAGCUGAUGUCGAAGGAGAACGUGUCCCUGUCUGAACCGGCAUAAGUGUCCUUCACGUACUGACAAGGAAAGUCUGUGUAGCUCUUCCAGGUGUCGAACGUCAUCCUUAUUUUCACGGUCUUCUCAAAUGCGAGGUUCUGAACCUUCACAGUGCCUGCAAUGGCCUUGUCCUUGAGCACACAGUUCUCAAGGCAGACGUGGUCGGCCUGAAGUCGAUUUCUAAAGUCUAAGUAAUCUGCAGAGGGCUGGGAAAAAUCCAGAACAAAGCUCUCGCUCUCUGCUGUCGUCAAGCUCACAAUGUUGUCUAGGAGCUCGGUGAUGUUGAAUGGCAUAUCUAGCGGGUCAUCGAAUUCCGAGAACACUUUGACCAUUGUCAGGGCCAGCCCCUGGUUGUCUGCGAAGGACACCCGCUUUUUCACCUUCUUCUCCUGGACAGCCGGGGCCACCAUUCCACUGGCUUCAUUCUUGCUGCUCAGCUGAAUACAAGGCCUCAGUGGUUUGCUGGGCUUUGGUGAGAUCUUAAAGGCAAACCUCUCUUGGCGCAAGGAAGGAGCCAUGCAGUUGUAUCUGUACUCGAUGUCCACAGCCAUCAUGGGGCUAGAUGAACAGGCUAGAACCGUGGAAAGGGAAGAGAAGAAAGAAAACAGUGGAGCAAUCAGAUCAGACAGAUGUGUAAAGGCAUCAUUCCAGCAGGGACUGGCAAACAAUAUUUCCUUUUAUCUAUGCCCACCUGGCUACAGGUCCACGUAUGCUCAGAUUCUCUUCUGCCUCUGCCGCCCUGAGACAGCAAGACCAACCCCUUCUCCUCCUCUUCCUCCUCCUCAGCCUACUCAACGUGAAGAGGAUGAGAAUGAAGACCUUUAUGAUGACCCGCAUCCACUUAAUGAAUAGUAAAUAUAUUUUCUCUUUCCUAUGAUUUUCUUAACAUUUUCUUUCCUUUAGUUUACUUUACUAUAAGAAUACGGUAUAUGUUACAAAUAAA
This 2154-nucleotide long non-coding RNA is filed under the name Homo sapiens (human). RNAcentral's name for it is "HSALNT0132753". Lineage: Eukaryota; Metazoa; Chordata; Mammalia; Primates; Hominidae. The record is from RNAcentral.